GAUGAAGAACGUAGCGAAAUGCGAUAAGUAAUGCGAAUUGCAGAAUUUCCGUGAAUCAUCGAAUCUUUGAACGCACAUUGCGCCCCAUGGUAUUCCGUGGGGCAUGCCUGUUCGAGCGUCAUUUACCCCCUCAAGCUCCGCUUGGUGUUGGGCGUCUGUCCCGCUUCGCGCGCGGACUCGCCCCAAAGGUAUUGGCAGCGGUCGUGCCAGCUUCUCGCGCAGCACAUUGCGCUUCUCGAGGCACCGGUGGGCCCGCGUCCAUCAAGCUCACCCCCCCAGUUUGACCUCGGAUCAGGUAGGGAUACCCGCUGAACUUAAGCAUAUCAAUAAGCGGAGGA
Molecule: unclassified non-coding RNA, 338 nt
Filed under: soil metagenome
Description: partial contains 5.8S ribosomal RNA, internal transcribed spacer 2, and large subunit ribosomal RNA
Rfam family: 5.8S ribosomal RNA (bases 1-121)
Source: RNAcentral